Molecule: ribosomal RNA, 385 nt
Filed under: uncultured bacterium
Lineage: Bacteria
Description: bacterial SSU rRNA
Rfam family: Bacterial small subunit ribosomal RNA
Source: RNAcentral
ACGAACGCUGGCGGCGUGCUUAACACAUGCAAGUCGAGCGGUAAGGCCCUUUCGGGGGUACACGAGCGGCGAACGGGUGAGUAACACGUGGGUGACCUGCCCUCAGCUCUGGGAUAAGCCUGGGAAACCGGGUCUAAUACCGGAUAUGACUCCAUGACGCAUGUUGUGGGGUGGAAAGCCUUGUGCGGCUGAGGAUGGGCCCGCGGCCUAUCAGCUUGUUGGUGGGGUGAUGGCCUACCAAGGCGACGACGGGUAGCCGGCCUGAGAGGGCGACCGGCCACACUGGGACUGAGACACGGCCCAGACUCCUACGGGAGGCAGCAGUGGGAAUCUUGCGCAAUGGGCGAAAGCCUGACGCAGCGACGCCGCGUGAGGGAUGACGGCC